Molecule: non-coding RNA, 4325 nt
Organism: Phalacrocorax carbo (great cormorant)
Lineage: Eukaryota; Metazoa; Chordata; Aves; Suliformes; Phalacrocoracidae
Source: RefSeq, a predicted model, not a curated record
CGGGAGGGGCCGCCCCGGGGGGCCGCGGCGGCGCGGCGUGGCUCGCCGAGAGCCGCGGUCACGGGUGUGCUGGGUCUCCUCACGCCUGGCAGGGCUCGGCGGAGCCGAGGGACUGGGGCACCUCUGGGAGCCCGGCCGUGAGGGCGCCGGCGCGGGGACACCCGACCUCCUGAUUUUGGGAGAAUUCGGGGGCAAAUCUGGCACUGGUCUUCGUGACCUGGGGGGAACUGCUGCCCCGGCUCCCCUCUCUUCUCCCCUUCAUCCUGCCGCUGCAUACAUGUGUGCACACAGGAGACCCACAGCAGAUGAAACGUGGCAAAGCCUUUUUCUGUGCUGUUUUUAAACAAGAGUAAGACCUCUACCCAUCUCUCCCCUCACAAUCUGGUAGUUCUGGUGGUUUUAAUUUAUACCAACAUUAUACAAGGCUUCGGUGGAGUGUGUGUACGUUCCACACCCACGAUGAAUGGACUGGUGCUAUUGGUAAGAAACUUGCUGCUGCUGACAAAUAGUCUUGCUGUAAUAGCCAGCAAACAAACCCCCAAACCCUAAAGAAAUUAACGAGCCUGUUUUACUGCACAUCAUUCAGAACACUUGUCUGUCAGUUGACAAGAGCACAGUUCUGGUCAAUCUAGGAUCCCUGUAAUAGCCAGGUAUGUCCAUGAUUAUACCCACAGGUCAGCGGAAGGUGUUUUGUAAUUGCCUGGGAUUUGUGGAUUUACCCACAUGAAAAGCACCAGCAGAUCUUUAAUGACUGCAAAGCAGUUCAGUUUCUGUUAAAUGCCUUAUCUGGAAGUUAUAAAAUGUAUGAAGAAGUGUGAUUUAUUUUAUUCCCCAUUGAUGUGAAAAGCUAAUGGAAAGCAUGAAGAAGGUAAUUUAAACGUUGUCAUGUGUGUGGCUAACCCAAGGGCUGUGGCUGCUUCAGACACCAGAGCCCAUGCCAAGCCUCAUUAGCAGUGUCUACUUAGCAAAGUGACAAAGAAACGUUUCCUCCAAAGCAGACUCAGCUCUUAGUGGUGAUUCUGUCCCAGGGCUGAGAUUUAACCCUCCCUGUGCCUACUGCAGUCAAACUGUCUACCUUCAUCUUGCCUGAUAUUGCCCACAGAUGCCUCACAGAAUCUCUGUAUGCUCCGUGACCAAAGGUGGACAGAAAACAGAGUAGUCGGUAUGGUUAGCCUCCAUUUUCUCUGCUUCUGUGCAUACUCUUUGUACUAUCAUCAUAACCGCCAUGCCUCCCUUUUUGCAAAAUGACCCAGAUAUUUGCAUUUUCUUUGUCCUUACCAAAAUCUAUCUCUAUGUUAUACAAGCCCUGGGAAAUAAUAAGGGCAUUCUGCAUGGACAGAAAAGACUAAUACUUCACGGAUGGUGUUGAAAGCAGACAUUGUGUAUCUACCUGAAGGUCUUACAAAGAGCAUGCAGCUCAGCAUGACCUCUUUCUCCAAGCAUCAUCUUGUUCUUUGGCCGUCUUCAGAGGACCUGGAUCAGUCUGUGCUGCCCAGUCUCCAGUACCGUCAGCACUUCCAGCUAACAUGGCCUCGUGCUGGGUGAAGUCUUGGAGGAACAGAAGUGUGGUUAGAAGUUUCCCUUACCAAAUCCUUGACUGUGUCAAGAAUGGAUUAUACCUUAGGGCCUGUGGCAGUCAUGGAUUUGUGCACUCAUCUCCUUCCUGUGGCAGAGAGAGCAUCCUCUAUGUUGGAGGGAAAGCAGCGUACAGCACUGCCCACUAAACUGCGUAAUCUCAUGGAAGGCACUGUCAUCAUGGAAGCACACAGUGGGCAAACCUGUGAUAACACGUGAGCUUAUGUGUGUGAGGGAGCUUUCAGAUGAGGACAGCUGCACCCUCAGAAGUUCUCCGCUCUCGCUGGUUUUGCCUUUUGGCCAGCGAGUGACACCAUUUGGCACCAGCUCACACCCAGGCCCACUGCGGCAAUCAUGGCUGCAGUUGGUGUGGAUGAGACCUGCUGUAGACAUACUUCUGUCCAGCCUGGACGAAGAACAUAUGUACUUGUUUUGCCCAUUCCGAAGACUGGACCCAGGCCUUCACAAGGCAUUUUUCUCUCCUAGGAGUGGAAGAAUAGCAUACUGGUUUCAUCAACAGCCAGCAGAAAUUCCACGUUCUUGGCAUCAGGAGCAAAAAUAUAAGCCGUGUUGACAGUCUUUGGUUUCCUUCAAGUCAGGGUACAGGCAAGCAUCCAGUAUUCUGCUCUGCCUGCAACCUCUUACAUUCCCUGCAUUUGCCUGAGACCACCUGAACACAGGUCAGUGGGUUUCCUGCAUUAGUGCAGAGGGUACAUUGUUCAAUCCCCAUUUGCAGGUGGAAUGGUGGGUCUCAGAAAUGAGCAUGGUUCUGCAUAGCAAUUCUAGCAUGGCUUGUCUACUAGAACAGAACAACAAAAUGUGAUUAUCAGACAUCUAAUUAGGGGAAAUGCUUUUAUGGUUGUCUGGGGAGAGCUGCUACUCAAACAGCAUGGAGUGAACACAACAGGGCAAAUGCAGGUAAGGAUCAUGAAAAGCAUACUGCAGUUCUAGUCUUCUAAAGAGCCCUGCUAGGGGAGACUGAGAGCUCGCUCAAGAGCUGUGCCCAGGCUGUAUGGUGGAGAUGAUGGCUUUCCUGCCAUGAAAUUUUGUGGAUAAAUCUCAUUAUGCAGGUGUGGCAGGAGUCCAUCUUACAGAUGUGCAGUGCAGAUGUAACUUCAUGGAGAAGAAUCAGAUUCAGAAGAACUGCCGGUGGUGGUUGGUAGUGUGUGGGGACCAGGAAAAGUCCCUCUGAAGAAAAUCUAGGGACUUCUUGAGUGCAGCAGUGGAUAUGCUGCAGACAGGCUCAGCUGAGCUCUAGGAGUCUCUGGGGUUAGUCAGAGUGCACAGAGUUGCCUCUAGCACUCAAGAGUGGCUGCCGUGUGUUCCCAGUCCUCUUCGCAGUGCCUUGUGAGGUGAGACUGCACCAUGUGCUCAGCAUGUGACUUAAGUGAUCAGGAGGCAAAGAAAAUAACAGCAGUAUUUUUUUUCCUGUGCACAGUACAUCUUUUUGCUUUACCGCAGGGUGAUGUCUAUACAUUUUAUGGACAGUGCAGGUGUAUGCCUCCAGCCCAGGCAAUCAUUAAUUAAUUUUAGCCUCCAAGAAAUCCAGGAAUGUCAUGCAGUCAGAAAGAACACAAGUUAUGACAGAUUAUCUGCUACCUCUACAUCCUGCACCAUCCUCCUAAUUCUUCCUCAAUUAAUCAACCUGAAGGAGGUUUCUCUGGCAGCCAUGUGCAGAGAAUUUGUCUUGGGGAUCUCUAGUGGUUUUAGAUCAAGGAUAAAGGCACAUUUAGUUCCUGGUGGAAGAAAGAAACGUAAGGCUGCUGGCCCUUCAUUUUCAUGUCUAAGGUGCUAUAGCUGAAAACAGAAGAAAUGGUCUAUUCAGGAAGAAACAGGUCAGUGACUGUUCCUGUCUUUCUCUUGCUUUUAGGGGAACAUUUCUGUCCGGUUACCAUUUCAGGACAUCACACUAAGGCUAGCCGCAUGGGGUGUUUCUUUGCCAUUGCCCUCUCCUCAGACAUCAGGGGAACUGGAAUAUGCUGCCUAGGUGACCCUGAGGCCAUUUUUCUGCCUGUAUUAAUUCACUAUCCACAGGUGGAGGCCUGGUGGCCCACCCCAACCUAUGACUACUAACUCUGUAACAAUGCAUGAGUAGAUUUGUAAUUAUUCUUCAGUCGCUAAGAGAGACCUCCCCUCCAGUUUACCUGUCAGAGGAGGCUGUGUUUUAGUGAGCAGAAUAAUCUUUUGUUCAACCUGUUGUGUAGCCCCAUUCAUGUGAGGUGCAGUCUACUUGAAUGCUUGCUGAAGACCAUGCCUGAUGUCAGCCCUCCAAGUCAGUGGCCAGUAUCAGAGGCUCUAGCUGAUUCCUAGCACUGUGCCUGUGUUUGCAGGCUCAUCUGCAUGAGGCAGGUGACUGUUACUCCCCAUCAGCUAGCUGCCUGCCAGAACCAGCACAGCCCUUCUAUGGGGGUCACACAAACAUCUUCAUCAUCUUUUCAACCAGUAUCACUACAGCUACUAUCUGGAAAGCUCCUGCCUGCGCAGCUGAACCACUGCUUCUGUUGGCCAGGUGAAGAUGCCGGAUGCAAACUUGUACUCCCUUUUCAAAUCAGAUGAGCCCAUUCCUCUGCAAGAUUGUCACUGCUAUUUCUCAGCAGCACCGUGAGUACACCUUGCUUCAGAUGAAAGACUGGCAUCCCAAAAGAAGGAAUGCACAGGACCUGUUUUUGUUGCCUUACCAUUUUGUGUUCCCCUGUGUUUCUCUUCUCUCUCAUUAAUUGUCAUUAAAUCCUUAAUUUUUUCCCAUCAGA